Molecule: ribosomal RNA, 301 nt
Filed under: uncultured bacterium
Lineage: Bacteria
Description: partial 16S ribosomal RNA
Rfam family: Bacterial small subunit ribosomal RNA
Source: RNAcentral
CAGUCGCCGCGGUAAUACGAAGGGGGCUAGCGUUAUUCGGAUUUACUGGGCGUAAAGCGCACGUAGGCGGAUCGAUCAGUCAGGGGUGAAAUCCCAGAGCUCAACUCUGGAACUGCCUUUGAUACUGUCGAUCUGGAGUAUGGAAGAGGUGAGUGGAAUUCCGAGUGUAGAGGUGAAAUUCGUAGAUAUUCGGAGGAACACCAGUGGCGAAGGCGGCUCACUGGUCCAUUACUGACGCUGAGGUGCGAAAGCGUGGGGAGCAAACAGGAUUAGAUACCCCAGUAGUCCCUGUCUCUUAUAC